AGACUAAAUAGACAAUAAAUGGAGAUAAGAUAUAGAAUAGAUCUAAUAUUCAAAAUCAUUUUUUGUCCCAUGUCGCAGAAGUAUUAGGAUUCUUUUACUAUUUUAUGUGUCAUUCUCAAUGUUAUGGAUUCUGUUUAAAAUUGAGAUCCACAUUAAAACUCGUUUCACAUAUCAAGGAAUAUUAUUUUCUGUGAGAUGUCCUAAAAAUAUAUUCUAAAGUUAAGAAUAUAAUAUUUAUGUACAUAUACAUUUUUUAUUAAAAAUUAAAACAGUUUUGAGAGAAAAAUAAUAAAAGCAUGUUCAAUUAAUAUCUUCUACCUCAACUAUGGUCACGCGCCAAGAACAAGUAUAGACAAGGAGAAUAAAUAAUAAGAAAAGAAUAGAGAUAGAAUAAAAAUUCAGGAAUUAAUAGCACAAUAUUCAGAAUGCCAUAAAUAAAAUACAUAAAGAAAGAACAGAAAAUAAUGGACAAAGAUAGAAAUGAAAUAAGAAUUGAUUAUCAAUGCCAUCUCUUAAAUGUCAAACAUUUCUUUAAAAAUGAAAUAGAGUAAAAAUUGAAUGUAGCGCCGUUUUUUAAAUAUUCUAUUUUACCUUUUUUUUUUUUGAAAAGUUACCUUAUAUUUUUUGUUGUACUAUCGAUUAACAAUUCCCAUCUAUGUAUAUAUUUCUUUAUAUUGUAAUACAUAUAAAAUAAUUACAUUUUAUUAUAUAUUUUAUACAUACGUAAAUUUUUUUUCUAUAAAUAUAAAUUUUCUAUAAAUUUAAAUUUAUUUAAAUUUUCUAUAAAUAUAUAUAGAUUAUAUGUAAAUUAUUAUUACAAUAAAAUAAAAAAAAACAUA
Long non-coding RNA from Apis cerana (Asiatic honeybee), 839 nucleotides. RefSeq lists it as uncharacterized. The record is from RefSeq and is a predicted model, not a curated record. NCBI's taxonomy places the organism in Eukaryota, Metazoa, Arthropoda, Insecta, Hymenoptera, Apidae.